UACGAAGGGGGCUAGCGUUGCUCGGAAUCACUGGGCGUAAAGCGCACGUAGGCGGCUUUCUAAGUCAGGGGUGAAAUCCCGGAGCUCAACUCCGGAACUGCCUUUGAUACUGGAAAGCUUGAGUUCGGGAGGAGGUGAGUGGAACUGGCGAGUGUAGAGGUGAAAUUCGGUAGAAUUAUUCGCAAGAACACCUAGUGGCGAAAGGCAGCCAGCGGCUGGA
RNAcentral lists this ribosomal RNA (220 nucleotides) under uncultured bacterium. RNAcentral's name for it is "partial 16S ribosomal RNA". It matches the Rfam family "Bacterial small subunit ribosomal RNA", at positions 524 to 737 of the family's 1533-position model. The record is from RNAcentral.